AUGGAAGAUUCAAUGGACAUGUACAUGAUCCCCUGAGCACCCAGAACUGUCUUUUUGGUGGUGAACUAAAGACUGACAGACUAUCACUUUAACAUGAAUAAUGAUGAAAAUGAACACCAGUUAUCUCUAAGAAUGGUCAGUUUACAUCUUGGUUAGGGACCGGUACAAGGAAUGAAUUUAAUGUUAUUGAAACAGGGAUAAUGAAUUAUGAAGGCAGCUCAAUUAAAGCAACACUGGCAAUGUUAAAAAAAAAUGUCUGUACAGCCAACUGUUUCCCUGAGAGAUUUUAAAUAGUACUAUCCAUGGUCUUAGAAUUGCAGUGUAGUUCAGACCUUGUGCAUAUUAGUAGACAGCACUUUUAGGCUGUGGAGGAAGAUGCGGAGUCAGAAGAUGAAGAGGAGGCGGAUGUGAAACUAUAAAGUAUAUCUGAAAAGUGAUCUGCCCCUGGGAGUGGUAGCAAGUUUCCACAGAGAAAAGUACAACAUACUGCUGAUGAAGAAGAAGAUGAUGACAAUAAUUUUGAUGAUAAGGAAACUGAAGAAAACUCCAGUGAAGAAAUCUAUGUAAGGUACUCCAGCCAAAAAUGCACAAAAAUCAAACCAGAAUGAAAAAGACAUAAAAUCAUUAAAACCAAGAUCAAAAGGUAAAGAAUCCUUCCAAAAAAAAAGAGGAAAAUAUUCUUACAAUACCAAAAAGACCUAGUCCUAUAGAAGACCUUAAAGCAAAAAUGUUAGCAAUAAUAGAAAAAGUAGUUCUCUUCCCAAAAUGAAAACCAUAUUCAUAAAUUGUAUAAAGAAUUGCUUCUGUAUGACUGAUCAGGAGGCUAUUCAAGAUCUCUGAAUAAGGAAAUCUCUUUAAGAAAAUA
RNAcentral lists this long non-coding RNA (865 nucleotides) under Homo sapiens (human). RNAcentral describes it as "non-protein coding lnc-HACE1-6:1". Lineage: Eukaryota; Metazoa; Chordata; Mammalia; Primates; Hominidae. The record is from RNAcentral.